CCUACGGGAGGCAGCAGUAGGGAAUAUUGCUCAAUGGGGGAAACCCUGAAGCAGCAACGCCGCGUGGAGGAUGAAGGUUUUCGGAUUGUAAACUCCUUUUGUUAGAGAAGAUAAUGACGGUAUCUAACGAAUAAGCACCGUCUAACUCCGUGCCAGCAGCCGCGGUAAUACGGAGGGUGCAAGCGUUACUCGGAAUCACUGGGCGUAAAGAGCGCAUAGGCGGGAUAGCAAGUCAGAUGUGAAAUCCUAUGGCUUAACCAUAGAACUGCAUUUGAAACUGUUAUUCUAGAGUAUGGGAGAGGUAGGUGGAAUUCUUGGUGUAGGGGUAAAAUGCGUAGAGAUCAAGAGGAAUACUCAUUGCGAAGGCGACCUGCUAGAACAUCACUGACGCUGAUGCGCGAAAGCGUGGGGAGCAAACAGGAUUAGAUACCCUUGUAGUC
This 440-nucleotide ribosomal RNA is filed under the name uncultured bacterium. Its description in RNAcentral is "partial 16S ribosomal RNA". It matches the Rfam family "Bacterial small subunit ribosomal RNA", at positions 338 to 795 of the family's 1533-position model. The record is from RNAcentral.